This 74-nucleotide transfer RNA is filed under the name bacterium. RNAcentral describes it as "tRNA-Gln". It matches the Rfam family "tRNA". Rfam says of the family: Transfer RNA (tRNA) molecules are approximately 80 nucleotides in length. Their secondary structure includes four short double-helical elements and three loops (D, anti-codon, and T loops). The record is from RNAcentral.
UGCGGGAUCGUCUAAUGGUAGGACGCCACGCUCUGGACGUGGUAAUUCUGGUUCGAAUCCAGGUCCCGCAGCAA